GAAAUGCGAUAAGUAAUGUGAAUUGCAGAAUUCCGUGAAUCAUCGAAUCUUUGAACGCACAUUGCGCCCUCUGGUAUUCCGGGGGGGCAUGCCUGUCCGAGCGUCAUUGCGAACCCCUCAAGCACGACUUGUGUGAUGGGCCCUCCCGCGUCUUGGUCGUCAAGACGGGCCCGAAAUGCAGUGGCGGCUUCGCGGUUAUCCGAUCAGCCAGAGCGUAUGGGGACUCUCUCUCUUGUCACACGCCCGCGGCGCGGACCGACGCCUGUCGACCUUUAUUCAUCUUCUCUCGGUUGACCUCGGAUCAGGUAGGGAUACCCGCUGAACUUAAGC
This 330-nucleotide unclassified non-coding RNA is filed under the name plant metagenome. Its description in RNAcentral is "partial contains 5.8S ribosomal RNA, internal transcribed spacer 2, and large subunit ribosomal RNA". The stretch from base 1 to 106 matches the Rfam family "5.8S ribosomal RNA", at positions 50 to 154 of the family's 154-position model. The record is from RNAcentral.